AACUGGGCGAUUAGUUAGUUGACGUAGACCCGAAACCGGGUGACCUAUCCAUGAGCAGGUUGAAGCGAAAGUAAAAUUUCGUGGAGGACCGAACCCACGAGCGUUGAAAAGCUCGGGGAUGACUUGUGGAUAGCGGUGAAAUUCCAAUCGAGCCCGGAGAUAGCUGGUUCUCCCCGAAAUAGCUUUAGGGCUAGCCUCAAGCUUAGAGAAACGGAGGUAGAGCACUGAAUGUCCUAGGGGGUAUUGCACUUACCGAAGACUAUCAAACUCCGAAUGCCGUUUUCUUUUACUUGGGAGUCAGACUGUGGGUGAUAAGAUUCAUAGUCAAAAGGGCAACAGCCCAGAUCGUCAGCUAAGGUCCCUAAAUGUACGUUAAGUGGUAAAGGAUGUGGGAUUGCACAGACAACCAGGAUGUUGGCUUAGAAGCAGCCACUCAUUUAAAGAGUGCGUAAUAGCUCACUGGUCGAGUGAUCCUGCGCCGAAAAUUUCCGGGGCUAAAACGUACUACCGAAGCUACGGCAUCAUUUAUGAUGGGUAGGGGAGCUUCGUAUGCAGGCUGAAGCAUGACCGUAAGGACAUGUGGACAGUAUACGAGUGAGAAUGUUGGCAUGAGUAGCGAGACGUGGGUGAGAAUCCCACGGGCCGUAAACCCAAGGUUUCCAGGGGAAGGUUCGUCCGCCCUGGGUUAGUCGGGACCUAAGCCGAGGCCGAAAGGCGUAGGUGAUGGACAACAGGUUGAUAUUCCUGUACCGCCAAUAAGCGUUUGAGAGAUGGAGUGACACAGUAGGAUAAGCUAACCGUACUGUUGGUUAUGUACGGCUAAGCAUUGAGGCAGUCUAAAUAGGCAAAUCCGUUUAGACAAUGCUAGGAUGUGAUGGGGAAGCCCUUCGGGGCGAAGUAGCUGAUUUCACACUGUCAAGAAAAGCUUCUAUCGAGUUUAAAGGCGCCCGUACCGUAAACCGACACAGGUGGGUGAGGAGAGUAUCCUAAGGCCAGCGAGAGAACUAUUGUUAAGGAACUCGGCAAAAUGACCCCGUAACUUAGGGAGAAGGGGUGCCUGUCUAUGACAGGCCGCAGAGAAUAGGCCCAAGCGACUGUUUACCAAAAACACAGGUUUCUGCUAAGUCGCAAGACGAUGUAUAGGAGCUGACGCCUGCCCGGUGCUGGAAGGUUAAGGGGAUCUGUUAGAGCAAUCGAAGCAGUGAACUUAAGCCCCAGUAAACGGCGGCCGUAACUAUAACGGUCCUAAGGUAGCGAAAUUCCUUGUCGGGUAAGUUCCGACCCGCACGAAAGGCGUAACGAUUUGGGCACUGUCUCAACAACAGACUCGGUGAAAUUGUAAUACCGGUGAAGAUGCCGGUUACCUGCGACAGGACGGAAAGACCCCAUGGAGCUUUACUGUAGCUUGACAUUGAGUCUCGGUGCUACAUGUACAGGAUAGGUGGGAGACUAUGAAGCAUGGACGUCAGUCUGUGUGGAGUCAUCCUUGGGAUACCACCCUUGUAGUACUGGGAUUCUAACCAGAGGCCAUGAAUCUGGUCUUGGGACACUGUCAGGUGGACAGUUUGACUGGGGCGGUCGCCUCCCAAAAAGUAACGGAGGCGCUCAAAGGUUCUCUCAGUACGGUCGGAAAUCGUACGAAGAGUGUAAAGGCAAAAGAGAGCUUGAUUGCAAGACAUACAGGUCGAGCAAGGACGAAAGUCGGACUUAGUGAUCCGGUGGUACCGCAUGGAAGGGCCAUCGCUCAACGGAUAAAAGCUACCCUGGGGAUAACAGGCUUAUCUCCCCCAAGAGUCCACAUCGACGGGGAGGUUUGGCACCUCGAUGUCGGCUCA
RNAcentral lists this ribosomal RNA (1835 nucleotides) under human gut metagenome. RNAcentral describes it as "bacterial LSU rRNA". It matches the Rfam family "Bacterial large subunit ribosomal RNA", at positions 686 to 2539 of the family's 2925-position model. The record is from RNAcentral.